This 56-nucleotide microRNA precursor is filed under the name Dasypus novemcinctus (nine-banded armadillo). Its description in RNAcentral is "miRNA (ENSDNOG00000038923.1)". The record is from RNAcentral. Lineage: Eukaryota; Metazoa; Chordata; Mammalia; Cingulata; Dasypodidae.
CGUCGGGACCGGGGUCCGGUGCGGAGUGCCCCUCGCCCGGGAAAUGGGGCGCGGCC